RNAcentral lists this small nuclear RNA (24 nucleotides) under Arabidopsis thaliana (thale cress). RNAcentral describes it as "snRNA_11821". The record is from RNAcentral. Lineage: Eukaryota; Viridiplantae; Streptophyta; Magnoliopsida; Brassicales; Brassicaceae.
GAUCUGCUCUCUUCUCACAGCAGC